Long non-coding RNA from Marmota monax (woodchuck), 6183 nucleotides. RefSeq lists it as uncharacterized. NCBI's taxonomy places the organism in Eukaryota, Metazoa, Chordata, Mammalia, Rodentia, Sciuridae. The transcript has 6 exons. The record is from RefSeq and is a predicted model, not a curated record.
GGGGCAGGGGACCGGGAGGAAAAAGUUAGGAAAAACUUUUACCCUGAAUUUGCUCAGGGGAGAAAAACGCACCAGAAAGGGAAUUUGCUGGAGAGAUUUGCUCCUCUUCCAGGUACACUAAAAUACACAUUCCUGAGCAGAAGGGUGCUUUCUCCAAAGGCUCUUGAGAGGAGAAGCUGAGAACAGCUUAAUGCCUUCACCGAGAGACGUGACCCAGAGAAUCACUGUAGCCCUGCCUGGUCUGAAAAGGUAAGAAAGCUCAAGGCCCAGAUGGUGGAGUGAAUUGUCCAAGGAUUGACAGAACUGGGACUGGAAUCCACACAUUUUGGUUCCUGGGACCCUGUUUUAUCCAAGAACCUUGCACAUAAAAUGGCCUGACUUUGUGCUCUCUACUUCCUGCUCCUCUCAAACUAGAAAUGGCUUGCAGGAGCUCCAAAGUAAAAGAUCAGAGCGACUAGUCUAAGCCACCGCAGGGUGGCUUCUGUCCUGACCCCUCACACCUGGGCCUUUCACUGGGAGAGGGCGGAGAAGCCGCUGUUGGGGUCCAGCCUGAUCCCAGCGGCAGGGGAGGGAGGUGGCUGUUCCUGUUGGCUGUCUGAGCCGGGCAGUGGGCUGCUGGCCUAUUCCUGGGGCCUCCAGCAGACUUGUGAAGAGCUGCUGCCAAAAUGGAAGAGUCAAAACAGCCCCCGGAGAUGGGAGAGGAAGCAUUUAGAGAAGAGGGAUUGAACUCAGGAGCACUCAACCACUGAGCCACAUACCCAGCCCUAUUUUAUAUUCUAUUUAGAGACAGGGUCUCUCUGAGUUGCUUAGCGCCAUUGCUGAGGCUAGCUUUGAACUCAUGAUCCUCCUGCCUUGGCCUCCCAAGCUGCUGGGAUUCCAGGUGGACACAAUAUCUUUAUUUUGUUUUAUGUGGUGCUGAGAAUCGAACCCAGUGCCUCAAGCUUGUUAGAUGCAGAAAUGGAGACUUAAAGAGGCUGAAUAAUUUGCCCAAUAUCAUAGAGCUAGUAACUCUUGGGGCUGGAAUUUGAACCCAGGCAGUCCUGCUCUAGCAUUGGAGCUACCACUUGGUCACACCAGCAUAUCAGGUGUGUGUGUAUCUCUGGCCAAUUAACCUUUCUGGCUGGCAAAAUCUCACCUCUACCUGAACUCCAGGGAGAGAAGGCUAUCUUUAAAGGUUCCCAUUUCAUUUUUCAGUUUAAUUGUUAGAAAGUCCUUCAUUAUAUUGAACUAAAAUCUGCCUCCCCAAGGCUUCCAUUGAUCUUCACAGUACAAAUUUAAUCCCCCUUCCAUACAAACGCUCUCACACAGAUGUGUGCCACCCCGCCCCCAUGCCUCUUCCUGCGCAUCGUUUGUGGGAACACUGGAAAUAGGCCCUCUCAUGGUUCCAAGCCCCCAAAGCAGCUGAGGCCAAGGGGAGGCUGGAUGGAGCUUAUGGAGGGGGUGGAAUGUUAAAUCAGGUAUUGCAAAUAGCUCCCAGGCAAUAUUUAGAACCAUGGGCAAGAAUUUCUUGGGAACUAGCUGAGUGGUCCUAUCAUCCCUGAAUUAUAUGCCACCCUGUAUCAUAGAUGUUGCUAUAAGAUGUAUUUGGUCCUAAAAUUGGGGAGCACAGUGGAAUAGCUGUGACUGUGACCCUCUGAUUUAUAGCUGAAUCUUUAUUCCAACUUAAUGAGGUUCCCUAGGAAAGGGAACCAUGUGCAAAAAAAUUAGUGAGGAUGAGACACAGAAAGACAUAAAAAUGGAGAGGAUGAAGGACCCCAGUGAUAUGAAAAGCGGUUCUGCAGCAGGAAAGAUGGCAGCAGAUAAGGCAAGGAGAUAAAUGAAUACCUUGGUCUGGACAUGAAAGAGCUGGAAGUGUUUGUCUUCUCCACUGAUUACAUAAUAGAAAUCAGAACACUUAAGAAAGUUGCCAGGUGGAUAUAGUACUAAAGCAACCAAGCCAGCUCCCCUAGAGGGCUUCAUGGAAAGGAAUGAGAAGAAGCACCUUUGACAGCAAUCUUUAGCUAUCUUCUGUCCCUUUCUCCCCUCAACUACCAGCUUUUAGUUUGACUAUGGCACCCAAUGGAUUCAUGGCCUAUUAUCUAUCCUUUUGUGGUCACAUGGCCAAGAAUUUCCAAAAGGUCAGCAAUGAUGACAGCCCCAAAACCUGGUAGAACCCAAAUCCUGACCCCCAACCGAAGAUCUUUGGAGAAAUGGCAAAGAUAUGCAAUAAAAUAAAGAUGCCUCUGUUGUGCUAAUUGUGUGUUCAAACAUCCAUUCAAAGACACGUGGGCCAGGCCUGUAGCUACAGUGGUAAGCAAGACCAACUCAGUCUCCAUGUCAGGCUAAUCAGACUCAUUGUGCAAAACUCUGUGUUAGCCUGAGCUGGUAUGAAGCUCUGAUCAUCUCAGCCCCCUUUUAGGACUUUUAGGAAGGAGAUGUGGAGGGUGAACAUUUUCUCUGCAGUUGGAAUAGGAUGCUGCUGGCUGGAUACUAGCUCUGCCUGUGUUGGCUCUCUUCUUGGAGAUGUGAGGUGUACAGCUAUGGGGGUGGGGGCGUAGGGUGCUUCUCAGAGGAAUAUCCACAGGCUUCCCCCCUUCACACUCCAUUGGACAAUUCCCCUUUGUCUAAAUUUGGAUAUUGCUCUCUAAUGCACAGAGGCUAAGCGUAGCAGUGUCAGCCUCUCCUGGAAUAUGGGGCCAGGCCUUUGAGCAGACAGGCAUUCCUCAUCUUCAGUCUCUCAGCAUCUCAGAGCGAUUAACAUAACAUGACACCAGGCCCAUCAAGAUAAGGAUCCUAAUGGCCACAAUGGCUUCCCUUUCUUCCCCCAGCCCUUCUUUAUUGCUCUGUGCUUUCCGCUCACUUCCAGCAGGGAAGAGUUUAGAAGCAUGGGGCUAGGCCAGCCGUUCUGCAGGCUGCUUCCCGCAAGGCUUGUGCGAGGGCUCCAGGGACGGGAGGCAUUUCCCUUUAAUAAGCUUCUCACACUACAUUAAAGAUAAAAGGGGAAGGGAAAUAUUUAUAUUCUGACAAAGCAGCUCUUCCCUUCAGGCUCUUGUUUUAUUUAUUAACUUGCUCUGUCCCUCUCUCUCUCCUCUCUCUCUGUUUCAGGGGCUAGGCAUUUGCGGUCCUUCUCCCCUUUAGUCAUUAAUUUUGUGGGUGAGUGACAGUGACAGGGGGACUUGGAAUUGUUGUCAAAGAGACGGGAUUGUAGGUGGGUGCCAUUCCCAGGGGACACAAACAGCUGUUUCUCCAUCCUCCUGGGAGCUACUUCCCAUUACCACUCUUAUUAUAUAGCACCUGGACGGUGGAAUAGAUCACACUGGUUAAGUUAUGUCAUUUUUAAAUGAAGCUGUGUCAGUGGGCAAAUUGUCAGAGGUAUGGUAACCUAGGUGGGUGGCUGUGUGCCGGGGAUCUCUUCGACCUCCUGUUUUAUGACACAUUUUCUUCUCUCACAGAGAUGAUCCCUUAAGGAGGCUUAUUUCUUCCCAGCUAAUCUACCCAGAGCCAAUAAAACAUGGGUAUGCUGUUCUGAAUCUUGAUUUAUCCUUUUGCAAUGAUUAUCGUUAAAGUUUCAGACCACCUAUUGUUCUAAAGCUGUGGCAGGUUGUUAAGGAGUUAAUCCUCUAUUCCCUACCCACCACUUACCCCCUUUAAGGAGUCUGCCUUGAUUAGUGGAGGCAGGAGGACAGGAGAGGUUAGGUUCUGCUCUUUUGGCUUGGGUAGUAAGUACCUGGGAGUUGAAGCUUCUGCUUUUUGGUAAUUUCUUUUUCUUUUUAAAAAUGACACAUGAUCAUCACUUAAAAAUUCAAGAACAAGGAAAGCAACAAAUGACCUGCCCAUCUGUGGAGAAGCAAAGGUGGGUCAAGAGCUCAGAUUUUGGAGCCUGCAUCUCUGGGCUGGAUCCUUUAGCUCUACCAUGUAUUAACAGCAGGAGACAGUGCCCGGCCUCAGUUUCCUUACCAGUAAAAUGGGGGUGAUGGUAAUAUCUUCUUCUUAGGAAUCUUAUAAGGAUUAACUUUGUAGAUGCAUGUACAGUACUUAAAAUAACUUGUAAGAAUCAGCUAUUGUUAUUAUUACCGUCCAAAAAUAACCAGUGAAUAAUACUUGAUACAUAUACUCCAGAUUUGUACAUAUACCGUGUGUGUGUGUGUGUGUGUGUGUGUGUGUGUGUGUGUGUGAAGGGAGAAAGAGAGCAGACAACAGAAAUGAUCUUAUAAUAACAUGAUCAUAUUAUUUAUGCUUUUAAAAUUAGUAAAAGCAUUAGGUCUAGGUUUAUCUGAACAGAAGAAAGGAAUCACAUAAUAUUAAUGAACUUGAAAUAUUAUAACUCCUGAAUGACAAGAAAUAUUCAUUUCUAAAAUAUCAUUCCAAGGUUAAAAAAAAAAAAGAUGAUGAAAACCAAUGGAAGGGUCGGGUGCAUGGUUGGAUUUGACCAGUUGCCUUGUGAUGAAAAAUGACAGUGCUCUCAGGCUUCUUCCUGUUGCUUCUAUGAUUUUUAAUUUGUUUGGGUCUAUAGCAUCUGCAUUCUGAUUUGCAUCUGUUUAUUUCUCCAGAGGGUAAGUCCUCACUUGAUAUUUAAUUGGAUUCAAUGUUUACUGCUAGUCUAUGUUUCUGGAUAAGAGAGUCCAUGUGAUUAAGUAAAUAAGAAGGUUUUAGUAAGUGAUAAAGAAGGUCUGUGUUAGUUGGUUAUAUAUGUAAGUUUUUUGAGCAAGUAAUCUUAAAGAAAUUAAAUAGCUGGUUAAACAAGAACUGUUGUUUUAGAGAAUUAUGCUAUGUUAUUUCUUUAAAAGCUAAAUUUGGUUAAUAUAAAAACAUCAAUGUAAUUGUGGUGCUAUUAAUGUGUUCAUAUCUUACAGGUAUUCAAGUCUGUAAGGUAGAAGCUUUAAAAGAGCAUUAUAUCAAGCUGGUGUUCUAAAGUUGUACGGCCACCCAUCCACUCAAAUGGCCCUCCAGCCUAUUACUUCUCAAUCAGACUUCUAUCAUGGACCACUCCAUAGACCCGAUUUCUAAAGGGGGACUCCAAACUGCUUGCCCAACAUCAUUCCCUUUCAGCCUGAAGAAGCCAGAACGAUCUUUGCCUCCUUUCCUUACAGCAGUAAGGAGUUCCCAAAAUUAGAGGGGGGAACGAAGCCAGAUUUAAAGUUAGGUAAUCAGUGUAGUUAGGUAAAUCGGGUCUAAUAUCCAGUGAAAUCUAAAUGGAGGCCAUGUUGAGAAUGAAUUGAGCAACUCUCUUGGAAUGUUAAUGAAGUCCAGGAAAAAGCCCAAGGCCAAGGUCCAUCCCAAAGAAGUGUUAAUGAACAGCCCCAGCAGAUUUAAAGAUAGCCCAUCCCAAAGAAAUGUUAAUGAACAGCAAACUUGAAGAUGCUGACUCGGAAGUGCCCAGAUUACUUCUUUGGCCCACCUGUGUCCCAACCCUUUGGGCCUUCCCACCUACAUUCCAUCACCGAAAACUGUAAAAUGGAGAGACAACCGCACUUCCAUGGAUUCUAUCUCUUGGGUCCCCUUCUUCCUCCGAGAGAAGUCUUUUCUGCUGUCCUUUAAUAAACUUCUAACUUUCCACUCUGAAAAAAAAAAAAAAAAGCAAACCAAUGGAAGGGUCGGGUGCAUGGUUGGAUUUGACCAGUUGCCAUGUGAUGAAAAAUGACAGUGCUCUCAGGCUUCUUCCUGUUGCUUCUAUGAUUUUUAAUUUGUUUGGGUCUAUAGCAUCUGCAUUCUGAUUUGCAUCUGUUUAUUACUCCAGAGGGUAAGUCCUCACUUGAUAUUUAAUUGGAUUCAAUGUUUACUGCUAGUCCUUUUAUCAAGGCUUUCACUUACUAAUUCUCUAAUUUGGUCAAUUUCUUGACUAGCUGUAUUUAAUAGUCAAGUAGUUUUUUUCUUAUCUUUUCUGCCUCAUUGGGAAGGGCCAUGGAUGCUUUUUUCCUCCAGUUCUGUCACAGAACUGCCUGUUCCCUCUCUGCUCAGAAGGACUGCUUGCCCAGUGUAACCUGCUGGAGCUCUCUGAUUCCUGUCAGGACCUUGGAGGCACCCCUCCAUCACCUUCUGGCACUGAAUGCUGUUAGUCAGAAGGAUAAAGCCGGGUUUAUGGUUUCCUUUCGUUGGGUCCUGGGUUUUCAUGAAUGCUUGAAGAAUUCCCUCUCUCUUGUGUGUUUUUGGUUUUUUUUUUUGUACUUGGGAUUGAACCCAGGGGCACUUUACUACUGAUCCACA